GACGAACGCUGGCGGCGUGCCUAAUACAUGCAAGUAGAACGCUGAAGAGAGGAGCUUGCUCUUCUUGGAUGAGUUGCGAACGGGUGAGUAACGCGUAGGUAACCUGCCUGGUAGCGGGGGAUAACUAUUGGAAACGAUAGCUAAUACCGCAUAAAAUGGAUUAUCGCAUGAUAAUUCAUUGAAAGGUGCAAAUGCAUCACUACCAGAUGGACCUGCGUUGUAUUAGCUAGUUGGUGGGGUAACGGCUCACCAAGGCGACGAUACAUAGCCGACCUGAGAGGGUGAUCGGCCACACUGGGACUGAGACACGGCCCAGACUCCUACGGGAGGCAGCAGUAGGGAAUCUUCGGCAAUGGACGGAAGUCUGACCGAGCAACGCCGCGUGAGUGAAGAAGGUUUUCGGAUCGUAAAGCUCUGUUGUAAGAGAAGAACGAGUGUGAGAAGUGGAAAGUUCACACUGUGACGGUAUCUACC
RNAcentral lists this ribosomal RNA (474 nucleotides) under Streptococcus sp. oral taxon 071. Its description in RNAcentral is "bacterial SSU rRNA". It matches the Rfam family "Bacterial small subunit ribosomal RNA", at positions 28 to 483 of the family's 1533-position model. The record is from RNAcentral. Lineage: Bacteria; Bacillati; Bacillota; Bacilli; Lactobacillales; Streptococcaceae.